RNAcentral lists this unclassified non-coding RNA (499 nucleotides) under Hevea brasiliensis (rubber tree). Lineage: Eukaryota; Viridiplantae; Streptophyta; Magnoliopsida; Malpighiales; Euphorbiaceae. The record is from RNAcentral.
AAAAAAAAAAAAAAAACUUUAUCAUUACUUUCAACAUGUAUAUUUUUCAACUCAAUUAAUAUAGAAUUAAAUUCAUCUAAGUGAGAUUUUAUAAGUGCACCUUCAGCCAUGCUGAGAGUAAACAAGUGCUCCUUGAGAUGAAGCUUGUUGGCAAGACUUUUUGUCAUGUACAAAGACUUCAAUUUAAGCCACAAACUUGAAGUGGUCUUCUCGUGAAUAACUUCACAGGGAACUUUUUUAGAAAAGCAAAUUUGGAUUGUUGGCAGUGCUUUCUCAUCCAACUCAUCAAAUUCUGCGUCUUUCAUAAUAGAUGGUUUCGUUGACUUACCAAGCAAAAGUUUUAGUGGUAACCCAUUUUGGGUAAGGACUGCUUGAUGUAGAACAAAAAAGAAAAGGAUAAAGAAAGAAAUAAAUCCUUAGGGAAAGAUAAAAAAUUCUCAAUAAAUUUAUUAAUCUCAGUAAUAAAUAUAAUCCUAAGCUACUGAAUAAUAGAAAAUUA